RNAcentral lists this ribosomal RNA (254 nucleotides) under uncultured bacterium. Its description in RNAcentral is "partial 16S ribosomal RNA". It matches the Rfam family "Bacterial small subunit ribosomal RNA", at positions 524 to 776 of the family's 1533-position model. The record is from RNAcentral.
UACGUAGGGGGCGAGCGUUGUCCGGAUUUAUUGGGCGUAAAGGGCUUGUAGGUGGCCACGUCAAGUCGGAUGUGAAAUCUCCCGGCUCAACUGGGAGGGGUCAUUCGAUACUGGCGGGCUCGAGGCCGGUAGGGGGAAGCGGAAUUCCCGGUGUAGUGGUGGAAUGCGUAGAUAUCGGGAGGAACACCGAUGGCGAAGGCAGGUCUCUGGGCCGCAACUGACGCUGAGGAGCGAAAGCAUGGGGAGCGAACAGG